GUUGGGAUGGCCGAGUGGUCUAAGGCGGCACAUUCAGGGUGUGUUCCGAAAGGGCGUGGGUUCGAAUCCCACUCUCAACA
Non-coding RNA from Triticum aestivum (bread wheat), 80 nucleotides. The record is from Rfam. Lineage: Eukaryota; Viridiplantae; Streptophyta; Magnoliopsida; Poales; Poaceae.